This is a long non-coding RNA of Mauremys mutica (yellowpond turtle), 651 nucleotides long. RefSeq lists it as uncharacterized. The transcript has 3 exons. The record is from RefSeq and is a predicted model, not a curated record. NCBI's taxonomy places the organism in Eukaryota, Metazoa, Chordata, Testudines, Geoemydidae.
AAACAAGAGCUGAAAGCAUUCCGAAGCACAAGCUGUUUCUUAGAAAUGGAUUGUUGAAAUCAGUGGGAAUUCUGCAUGCAGAUGUCUGGAAGAAUCAGUUGGUGGCUCUGACAAAUGAGGGCAAAGGUGAUCAGACUUGAAGCUUCCCAGCUACCGAACUCAUCAAACAAGUGAUUGGUGACUGCAGCAGGUGUUCCUUUCAUGUACCACAAUGAAAAAGAUACCCACAUUUUCCAAAAUGUAUGAAUGAACAAGAGUACAAUUGUCUCACACAGGGAUCACCAAACCUAACAAACAGACAUGGAUAGUAGGAGUACUGGAGAGGUAGGAGGAAUGCUGGAGAGGCUCAGAUUGUUUUUCUUACUGCUGCUUUGGUUUACAUCAGACAUGUCUGUCACAGGGAAGACUAUCCACCAUGAGCCUGCAAGUGGAUAAAAGGCUUGAGAGAGAUCAAUGACACCCUCUGCUGUUUCUCAGAGGGAUGAGCAGCACCUCACUGUGCCAGGCUGUUGCCUUCAUAGCUGUCAAAAGCAGAACCUGACACAUGCUGCAAUGUGAUCUUAGACAAUUUUCAGUUUCAACCCAAUUAAAUGCAGUGUCUUUCAUUCAACUGAAACAGAGACCCUCCAGAUAGAGGUGAAUUGUGCUCUC